This 253-nucleotide ribosomal RNA is filed under the name uncultured bacterium. RNAcentral's name for it is "partial 16S ribosomal RNA". It matches the Rfam family "Bacterial small subunit ribosomal RNA", at positions 524 to 776 of the family's 1533-position model. The record is from RNAcentral.
GACAGAGGUGCCGAGCGUUAGGCGGAAUCACUGGGCUUAAAGCGUGUGUAGGCGGACUUGUAAGUACCUUGUGAAAUCCCACAGCUCAACUGUGGAACUGCUUGGUAUACUGCUUGUCUUGAGCCACUUAGGGGCAGUCGGAACAGACGGUGGAGCGGUGAAAUGCGUAGAUAUUGUGAGGAACACUAGUGGCGAAGGCGAGACUCUGGACAGUUCCUGACGCUGAGGCACGAAGGCCAGGGGAGCAAACGGG